AACGUAGGACACAAGCGUUAUCCGGAGUUACUGGGCGUAAAGAGCGCGUAGGCGGUCCGAUAAGUUCGCUAUGAAAGCACCUGGCUAAACUGGGUGAGGCUGGCGGAUACUGUCAGGCUAGAGUGAGACAGAGGCAGAUGGAAUUCCGCGUGUAGUGGUGAAAUGCGUAGAGAUGCGGAGGAACACCAGUGGCGAAGGCGGUCUGCUGGGUCUCAACUGACGCUGAGGCGCGAAAGCGUGGGGAGCGAACAGG
This 253-nucleotide ribosomal RNA is filed under the name uncultured bacterium. Its description in RNAcentral is "partial 16S ribosomal RNA". It matches the Rfam family "Bacterial small subunit ribosomal RNA", at positions 524 to 776 of the family's 1533-position model. The record is from RNAcentral.